UACGUAGGGUGCGAGCGUUAAUCGGAAUUACUGGGCGUAAAGCGUGCGCAGGCGGUUCGUUGUGUCGGCGGUGAAAGCCCCGGGCUUAACCUGGGAAUGGCCGUUGAAACUGGCGAACUGGAGUGUGGCAGAGGGGGGUGGAAUUCCGCGUGGUAGCAGUGAAAUGCGUAGAUAUCGGGAGGAACACCUGUGGCGAAAGCGGCUCACUGGACCACAACUGACGCUGAGGCGCGAAAGCUAGGGGAGCAAACAGG
Molecule: ribosomal RNA, 254 nt
Filed under: uncultured bacterium
Lineage: Bacteria
Description: partial 16S ribosomal RNA
Rfam family: Bacterial small subunit ribosomal RNA
Source: RNAcentral